GCGCCGGCGUCGAGCGUCGCCCACGGAGUUGGAGGAGGCGCGCCGGCGCCCGCGGGGGCGGACUCGGCUUUGGAGACCAACGUGGUGAUCAUCAUGGCCGCGCUCUUCUUCGGACUGCUCCUCGUCAUCGCGCUCAACUCGCUGGUGCGGUGCGCGCUCCGGCGCGUGUGCCGCGGGGCCGCGGCCGCUGCCGGCGAGGGCCGAGCGUGGGCGCGGGUGGCCUGCAGCGGCAGCGACAUCAAGAGGCGCGUCCUCAGGAGCCUCCCCGUGGAGGUGUACGGCUCCGGGGAGGACAUCGACGACGUGUGCGCCAUAUGCCUGAGCGAGUUCGUGGACGGCGAGAAGGUGCGCGUGCUGCCGCUCUGCGGGCACGCCUUCCACGUCCGCUGCAUCGACGCCUGGCUGGUGUCCCACGGCUCCUGUCCCACCUGCCGGCGGCCGGUCAUCGAGAAGGGCGCCAGCGGCGGUGUCGUCGAAAGCCAGCGCCCUGCGGAGACGGAUACGAUCAUCAACGUGGUG
RNAcentral lists this ribosomal RNA (519 nucleotides) under Triticum aestivum (bread wheat). Its description in RNAcentral is "partial small subunit ribosomal RNA". The record is from RNAcentral. Lineage: Eukaryota; Viridiplantae; Streptophyta; Magnoliopsida; Poales; Poaceae.